CAGUAGCCGCGGUAAUACAGAGGGUGCGAGCGUUAAUCGGAUUUACUGGGCGUAAAGCGUGCGUAGGCGGCUUUUUAAGUCGGAUGUGAAAUCCCUGAGCUUAACUUAGGAAUUGCAUUCGAUACUGGGAAGCUAGAGUAUGGGAGAGGAUGGUAGAAUUCCAGGUGUAGCGGUGAAAUGCGUAGAGAUCUGGAGGAAUACCGAUGGCGAAGGCAGCCAUCUGGCCUAAUACUGACGCUGAGGUACGAAAGCAUGGGGAGCAAACAGGAUUAGAGACCCCCGUAGUCCCUGUCUCUUAUAA
Molecule: ribosomal RNA, 301 nt
Filed under: uncultured bacterium
Lineage: Bacteria
Description: partial 16S ribosomal RNA
Rfam family: Bacterial small subunit ribosomal RNA
Source: RNAcentral